RNAcentral lists this ribosomal RNA (345 nucleotides) under uncultured Bacteroidales bacterium. RNAcentral's name for it is "bacterial SSU rRNA". It matches the Rfam family "Bacterial small subunit ribosomal RNA", at positions 22 to 366 of the family's 1533-position model. Lineage: Bacteria; Pseudomonadati; Bacteroidota; Bacteroidia; Bacteroidales. The record is from RNAcentral.
GCUCAGGAUGAACGCUAGCUACAGGCUUAACACAUGCAAGUCGAGGGGUAGCAGGGUAGCAAUACCGCUGACGACCGGCGCACGGGUGAGUAACACGUAUCCAACCCUCCCAUAACUCGGGGAUAGCCUUUCGAAAGAAAGAUUAAUACCCGAUAGUACUUUUUUAGGGCAUCUUAGAAAAGUUAAAGAUUUAUUGGUUAUGGAUGGGGAUGCGUUCCAUUAGAUAGUUGGUGAGGUAACGGCUCACCAAGUCUUCGAUGGAUAGGGGUUCUGAGAGGAAGGUCCCCCACAUUGGUACUGAGACACGGACCAAACUCCUACGGGAGGCAGCAGUGAGGAAUAUUG